UUUUUUUUUUUUUUUUUUUUUUUUCCUUUCCAAAUUGUAUGGUUUGGUUCAUAUGUUCAAACUGUUCCAGCGAUCAUGGCGGACGGGAGGCAGGACUAGACUGCAGCUUCAGACAGAGCAGCAUGCGGAGGCUCACGUUGUGAAUUUUAGCUCCAGAUUGACUGCAGGAACAAACCAGAAAUGCCGAGAGGAACCACAGACCCUCUGAAGGAAAUGGACUGCUCCUGCAGAACCCAGGAAAUACCCCAAAUACUGUGAGUCCCCCAACUGCGGAAGUGGGAAAGGGAGACCUUCCUCUCCCUAACACACACCCCCACUGGAGAAGCUGAAGGUCUGUUUGUGGGAGAAGUUUCCGACUUUACCUGGGGCUGAGUCAAGUUAGAGAGUAGAGCGAAAUACAGGGGUAGAGGAAGGAGCAGAAAGGCCCUGGGAGCUCCCUGGGUCCCCAAGCAGCCCAUUCCUGCCUGGCACCACAGGGAUGGAUCCAUGGGGAGGAUGGCCAGAGGAGCAGGGGAUAAAACUCCACAGGGAGAAGGAAUUCCCUAGCUGAACUUUGUAACAAUUUGAAUAGGCAUGAGAAGCUUCCUGGCCAGAACUCGGGGGAGGGAGCAAAUCUUGUGUGCAGACUUCACAGUUGGGGGAAGAAAGCUCUUUUCUUUUGCAGCUGGGAAGCAGAUAGCCUCAGGCAAGUUUUCAAGCUGGUCUAGCCCUCCACCUGGAAACAGACUUGGGGCUGUUGCUGGGGGCACAGUGGGAGUGAGACCAGCCCUUCAGUUUGCACAGGAGCUGGGUAAGGCCUGUGACUGCCAGCUUUCCUCUACUUUUCUGACAGCUUGCAUGACUCAGCAGAGGCAGCCAUAAUCCUACUAGGUACACAACUCCAGUGACCUGGGACUCUCAUGCCUAACCUCCACAGCAGUUGAAGCAAGACCCACCCACGGAAAGUCUGAGCUCAGACAUGCCUAGCCCUGCCCCCAUCUGCUGGUCCUUCCCUACCCACCCUGGUAGCAGAAGACAAAGGGCAUAUAAUCUUGGGAGUUUUAGGGCCCCGCCCACCACCCAUCUCUCUUCACACUACUACAGCUGAUGCUUUCUGGAAAGCGUCAUUCCUGGCAGGAGGUCAACCUGCACUAAAAUAGAGCAUUAAACCACCAAAGCUAAGAGUUCUCUUAGAAUUCAUUCAUCGCACCUCUGCCACCUCCACUGGAACAGACCCUGGUAUCCACAGCUGAGAGACCCACAGAUGGUUCACAUCACAGGACUCUGUGCAUACAACCACCAGUACCAGACUCGCUGCAUGGCUAGACCCAGAAGAGAGACAACAACCACUAUAGUUUGGCUCACAGGAAGCCACAUCCAUAGGGAAAGGGCAAGGGUACUACAUCAAGGGAACACCCUGUGGGACAAAAGAAUCUGAACAACAGCCUUCAGCCCUAGACGUUCCCUCUAACCGAGCCUACCCAAAUGAGAAAGAACCAGAAAAACAACCCUG
Molecule: long non-coding RNA, 1492 nt
Filed under: Macaca fascicularis (crab-eating macaque)
Lineage: Eukaryota; Metazoa; Chordata; Mammalia; Primates; Cercopithecidae
Description: lncRNA (ENSMFAG00000063704.1)
Source: RNAcentral